This is a long non-coding RNA of Oncorhynchus keta (chum salmon), 525 nucleotides long. RefSeq lists it as uncharacterized. The record is from RefSeq and is a predicted model, not a curated record. Lineage: Eukaryota; Metazoa; Chordata; Actinopteri; Salmoniformes; Salmonidae. The transcript is spliced from 4 exons.
AGGCAUAAUAGAGAGCCAUUCAAUGUGUGAGUGAAUCAGGCAUAAUAGAGAGCCAUUCAAUGUGUGAGUGAAUCAAUGAAUCAGGCAUAAUAGAGAGCCAUUCAAUGUGUGAGUGAAUCAGGCAUAAUAGAGAGCCAUUCAAUGUGUGAGUGAAUCAAUGAAUCAGGCAUAAUAGAGAGCCAUUCAAUGUGUAACUUUGUCCCACUAGAAUCAUGAGUGAGGCACCAUGUCUACAGGACAGACAGGAAGACAGGUGAGGACAGACAGGAAGACAGGUAAGGACAGACAGGAAGACAGGUAAGGACAGACAGGAAGACAGGUAAGGACAGACAGGAAGACAGGUAAGGACAGACAGGAAGACAGGUAAGGACAGACAGGAAGACAGGUAAGGACAGACAGGAAGACAGGUAAGGACAGACAGGAAGACAGGUAAGGACAGACAGGAAGACAGGUAAGGACAGACAGGAAGACAGGUAAGGACAGACAGGAAGACAGGUAAGGACAGACAGGAAGACAGGUAAGGAC